UGAGGGAUAUUGGUCAAUGGGCGCAAGCCUGAACCAGCGACGCCGCGUGGGUGAAGAAGGUCUUCGGAUCGUAAAGCCCUUUUCCCACUGAAGAGGAAGGACGGUAGGUGGGGAAGAAGUCUCGGCUAACUACGUGCCAGCAGCCGCGGUAAAACGUAGGAGACAAGCGUUAUCCGGAGUUACUGGGCGUAAAGGGCGUGCAGGUGGCGUCUUAAGUCUGUUGUGAAAGCGCCUGGCUUAACCGGGCGAGGCCAAUGGGGACUGAGAGGCUGGAGGACGGCGGAGGGGUGUGGAAUUCCGGGUGUAGUGGUGAAAUGCGUAGAGAUCCGGAGCAACACCAGAGGCGAAGGCGGCACUCUAAGCCGUACCUGACACUGAGACGCGACAGCACGGGGAGCAAACG
Molecule: ribosomal RNA, 403 nt
Filed under: uncultured bacterium
Lineage: Bacteria
Description: bacterial SSU rRNA
Rfam family: Bacterial small subunit ribosomal RNA
Source: RNAcentral